AUGCUCUCUUCCCAAGUCAUCGAGAAACUUGUUUCCCUUGAGAAAGCAGGUGGGUCUUUCAGCGGGUCAGUGUCAAGAUAUAUCCACGGAUUGAACAUGUGCGAGAAUAUCCAGUCUGCUGAGAGAGCAGUGAUGAAGCAGCAUAUUUUGAGGAAAGUGAGAUCGGCGGUGAGAGGGCAUGAUCUGGAGACGAGUCUAAUUGCUUCUGUGGAGGUCUGCGUUUCUGAAGGCACAAAAGGAGCCAGCAGUAGCAGGAGAAACAAGUAG
Molecule: ribosomal RNA, 267 nt
Filed under: Triticum aestivum (bread wheat)
Lineage: Eukaryota; Viridiplantae; Streptophyta; Magnoliopsida; Poales; Poaceae
Description: partial small subunit ribosomal RNA
Source: RNAcentral